RNAcentral lists this ribosomal RNA (650 nucleotides) under uncultured bacterium. RNAcentral's name for it is "bacterial SSU rRNA". It matches the Rfam family "Bacterial small subunit ribosomal RNA", at positions 11 to 709 of the family's 1533-position model. The record is from RNAcentral.
GUUUGAUCCUGGCUCAGAACGAACGCUGGCGGCAGGCUUAACACAUGCAAGUCGAACGCCCCGCAAGGGGAGUGGCAGACGGGUGAGUAACGCGUGGGAAUCUACCGUACCCUACGGAAUAACGCAUGGAAACGUGUGCUAAUACCGUAUACGCCCUUCGGGGGAAAGAUUUAUCGGGGUAUGACGAGCCCGCGUUGGAUUAGCUAGUUGGUGGGGUAAAGGCCUACCAAGGCGACGAUCCAUAGCUGGUCUGAGAGGAUGAUCAGCCACAUUGGGACUGAGACACGGCCCAAACUCCUACGGGAGGCAGCAGUGGGGAAUAUUGGACAAUGGGCGCAAGCCUGAUCCAGCCAUGCCGCGUGAGUGAUGAAGGUCUUAGGAUUGUAAAGCUCUUUCACCGAUGAAGAUAAUGACGGUAGUCGGAGAAGAAGCCCCGGCUAACUUCGUGCCAGCAGCCGCGGUAAUACGAAGGGGGCUAGCGUUGUUCGGAAUUACUGGGCGUAAAGCGCACGUAGGCGGAUAUUUAAGUCAGGGGUGAAAUCCCGCAGCUCAACUGCGGAACUGCCUUUGAUACUGGGUAUCUCGAGUAUGGAAGAGGUGAGUGGAAUUCCGAGUGUAGAGGUGAAAUUCGUAGAUAUUCGGAGGAACAC